This 460-nucleotide ribosomal RNA is filed under the name uncultured bacterium. RNAcentral describes it as "partial 16S ribosomal RNA". It matches the Rfam family "Bacterial small subunit ribosomal RNA", at positions 338 to 795 of the family's 1533-position model. The record is from RNAcentral.
CCUACGGGGGGCUGCAGUGAGGAAUAUUGGUCAAUGGACGAGAGUCUGAACCAGCCAAGUAGCGUGAAGGAUAACUGCCCUAUGGGUUGUAAACUUCUUUUAUAUGGGAAUAAAAUGUUCCACGUGUGGGAUUUUGUAUGUACCAUAUGAAUAAGGAUCGGCUAACUCCGUGCCAGCAGCCGCGGUAAUACGGAGGAUCCGAGCGUUAUCCGGAUUUAUUGGGUUUAAAGGGAGCGUAGGUGGAUUGUUAAGUCAGUUGUGAAAGUUUGCGGCUCAACCGUAAAAUUGCAGUUGAAACUGGCAGUCUUGAGUACAGUAGAGGUGGGCGGAAUUCGUGGUGUAGCGGUGAAAUGCUUAGAUAUCACGAAGAACUCCGAUUGCGAAGGCAGUUCACUGGACUGCAACUGACACUGAGGCUCGAAAGUGUGGGUAUCAAACAGGAUUAGAUACCCGUGUAGUC